RNAcentral lists this long non-coding RNA (1497 nucleotides) under Fragaria vesca (wild strawberry). Its description in RNAcentral is "long non-coding RNA (FVES_LNC000269)". The record is from RNAcentral. Lineage: Eukaryota; Viridiplantae; Streptophyta; Magnoliopsida; Rosales; Rosaceae.
GAGGGAAUAAACUUGUCACGCUUAAUUAAUAUUAUAAUAAUACAAUACGAAUGUCAUAUCUUUGGAUAUCAUUGUGCAAAUUGAGUAAAAUGUACUGUCUGCAAACUGAAGGUGUAUCUAUGGCAACAAAUUAUUGUACUUUACUAUAACUAUGAACAGUAAUUACACGAUGAUAAGAAUCGGAUAAUCACAUCGCAUGAUAAUUCACGUAAAAUCUAGAAACUGUCCUGCGGAAUCUAAAACUCCCAAGUACAAACACAAAAGAAAGAAAUAUAUGAUGUGAUAUGGAUGUUGCAUGCUCAUCAGAAACAAGCAUCCAACAUACAACAACAACACAAAGCAGCACAGCAUCCUUUCCAGAAUCCAUCACCCUUCGACUUGGUCUCUACCGGAACAGGAACAGGGUUUUGGUCGCCGGCAUUGGAUCUUGCCGGAUAACCAGCAGGUGGUGGAGCCGAAUAAGGCGGCUUAGGGUAGGCAGCAACAGAACUAGUUGUGCUUGAACUCAUCCUGAUUAAUAUGAUCACGUACAGAAGGAAUUAGAGAAUGAUGAAUACUUUGCAAGUUUGCAGGGAAGAGGUUUGAGAUAUUGAGAAGAGGAUAGACGAAGGUGUACUUAUAUAGAGAGAAAAGCAGGUGAUAUUUGGUGAAGUGGUUGUUUCUUAGAAGGAAUAUCAAUGGUGGCUUUUACGCAGGCGGCUUCACCGCGUGUCGUGGAGACUGGGGAAGAAGAAGGAAUAACAAAGACGGCGCGAAGAAUACAAGGGCCUGCUAUAACUAUUUUAAUUAGGUAGAAGUAUGUCGUUGCUUUUAGAAUAUCGGAAGGUAUAUGAGCUUCGGUUGAUUUUGCUUCGAAGGCCCAAUUCAUCUCCAUCUUUUCUUUUGGCGUAGGAUGUUUGCGGAGCGGAUGCAGUGCACCACGGUGCACUUGAACCAGCUAACUAGGGUAACGGAACUAUAUCAACGUUAAGUUAGCAAACUUUCAAAAAAAAUAGAAACGCAGUAAAACUACAAUUACCUAUCUUAUUAUAACCCUACUGAGUACUAACUGGAGAGAAGACGACGAGGACGACCAUCACUAGGGAUUUUGGCGAGCUCGGAUCGGAGGCAGUCAGUAAGAAUCGAGGUGAGUGAGUGAAUGACAUCGAGUUGCAGGAAGUGCUUGAUGGCCAAUCAGUAAGAAUCGACGGCGUCGGCGGGGUGAUAAGGGAUCGGAGGUCCCGGAGGCGGAGAGGAGAGUCGCCGUGGAAGGGAAGCAGGGGCCGACGAGGCGUACGUGGAGAGAGAGAGAGAGAGAGAGAGAGAGAGAGAGAGAGAGAGAGAGAGAGAGAGAGAGAGAGAGAGAGAGAGAGAGNNNNNNNNNNNNNNNNNNNNCUAGCGAUAACUCAAAUGAGGCUAGCUAUAAUUUAUUACAUUCCUUGGAAGAUAUUUCAUGUGAUAUAUAAAUAUAUUUAAACUAUUUAAUUUCUAUUUGAAGAAUAAUGUUCAUGUAAUGCU